This 95-nucleotide ribosomal RNA is filed under the name Acanthosepion pharaonis. The record is from RNAcentral. Lineage: Eukaryota; Metazoa; Mollusca; Cephalopoda; Sepiida; Sepiidae.
CAUUAAAACACCAGUUCCCAUACAAUCACUAAAGUUAAGCAACAUCGAGCCUGGUCAGUACCUAGAUGGGUGACCACUUGGGAAUACCUGAUGCU